Molecule: long non-coding RNA, 2234 nt
Organism: Bufo gargarizans (Asiatic toad)
Lineage: Eukaryota; Metazoa; Chordata; Amphibia; Anura; Bufonidae
Exons: 3
Source: RefSeq, a predicted model, not a curated record
CAAAUAGACAUCAUACAUCCGUUACCGCCGUGCUUACAGAGCUGUGCUGGAGACACAAUGGCCGCCCUGCUGUCUUAAUUACCUGUUACUACACUAAGUAUUUAAUCUCCAACUCAAGAAACAUGGGUUAUUAGUAAAUAAAACAAGGGGAGGCCUGCAAGACUUACAAGAGAGUUCACUUGAUUAAAGAAAAUCUCCAACUCUAACAUUAUUUUAUAUUUUCUCACAUGUUUCAAGAUUGGUGUUUAUUGUCAGUGAAUGAAAACAUUCUAGUUUACAUCCAGAAGCUGUGUGGCUUUUUCCGCAGUUCCACUGCAAAAAAUGCAACAAAAACAGUGUCAAAAACCACAUAUAUUACAGUUUUUGCCACGGAAAUGGCUGUGGAUUUCAUUCUCUCCAUUGCAAAGGGUGAAAUCUGCAGUGGAGAUCCAUAGCAUAAAUUGACAUGCUGCACCACAGGUCAACUUACUCUGCGGUUUUCUCCUGCAAUGUGUGCAUGAGUUUUUUCAAAUUCUCAUGCACUUUGCUGGUACUGUACAAUGCUGCGGAUUUAGACCAGAACAUCUGCAACGGCAAAUUUACAGCAUUUCAGCCAUUGUGGACAUAGCGUAAAGGCAGUUUUUUCAGCAUUUUGCCCUUUCACCUGCAGUGAGCCCAAUAGGAGCCGGAGCAGACGAUGGAAGUGGUAGUAGCUCUAGCUGUUACAGUCAAUCACAGUGGCUUUCCUCAUACCAUUGUUCCCUACAGCAGUGCAGUGAAAGGAGGGCACAUCCUUUUUUCCCUCGGGGCACACCCUGGUUGUUGGGCUCCUGCCUGAUAGAAGUUGGACUUCCUGUGAUGUUAAGUGUUUGUAUGGGUGCAAGGCAGGGCAUGUAAAGUGCAAUGGCCACUGUAUCAUGCAGGAGUCAGAUAACUAGGCCAGAGUUAGAAAAAUAAAUUUCUCUUUUUACUCAAGUCCAAAAUGACAGUUUUAGUAUAUCCAAUUAUAGCAGACACAGCUCCUACUCUCCUAGAUAGCAGUGUAUGGAUUUAGGCAAGGGUGGGAGUUAUGGCCAUCUUCCCUCUCUAUCUGUCUGAAGACACUUCUAAUAGAAUCUAUGGUUGGUAACAGUACCUUGGCAAUAAUAAUAGUGUCCACUGUGGGAUACAGGGUUUUGAAGGCACCUCUGGCCAGGACCUGGCCAGGAGUGAAGAGUGUCCCUUACUUCAGCAAAGUCUGAAUGGCCGUAGUAGCAGGUUGCCUUGCUGACUCCUAUGCUUGGCCAUGUAAAGUCUUAGUUUUCCAAUCCUCUCCUUUGUCUUUCUCCUUCUCUUCUUCUGUAGAUCAUGUAGAGAUCAGUGAGUCUCUGUAGGUUUUUGGGCCUCAGUAGAAGAAGCAUAGGUCACUGCUUCCUUCCUCUUUAAAUACUCACUCUCAACUCCCUAACUAAGCUGGGGACAGUUCCUAGAUCAUCACCCAACCUCCUGCAAGGGCCAAGCCAGGAUUGUAAACCCUGGCUGUGCCAUCCAUACACAUCGAUACUGAGUACUGUACUUAAUAUGACAAUGCAUAACAGCAUAUUAUAUAAUAUAUAACAUGACACACAAUUUUCAGCUACCCCUGCUUUGGGAUACUGUAUACAGUACAUACUCCUCACCGCUCCUUUCCAGGUCACUGGGUCUGUUUGGCGAUCUUCUGGCUCCUUAUUUAUUUACCUUCUAGGUGGCAUUUGGAAGGGCUCACAUUUGCCAGCAGUGACCUGCCACUGGGAACUGAGUCCAGUCAUUGGCUGCAGCGUCACACGUGACUCCUUCUAUACCCAUCCAGAAAUAAGCAAACAGGGCACCAGAAGAUCACCGGAAGUAGCAAGGGCACUGGAACAGAACGGCAGGGAACAGAUGAACACUGAAAUGCAAAGGCCACAAAACCUGCCGGCCAUAAAGCUUGUGGAUAAUUCAUAGAGCGGGGGACACCUUGUCAUCAGCCUAUUGUGACCAGGAGCCUGAAGAAUGGCAAGCAGCAGGUGUGCGCAGAGCGAGCCACACAGACAUGGCCGGGCCAUAGAAUUCCCAGCUGCAGCCCCAACUCCACGUCUCAUUCAUUUUCACAAACUCGGCUCAUUUGGCGAUUGUGUCAGGAGUAAUGGGCUUUUCUCAGCUUUAAGACGAACAGAUACACAAUGACCAGGAACACGAAAAGCAUGACAGAUACAAGUGCCAGGAUGAGGGAGCGGUAAGAUUCCCUCUUGAAAGAU